RNAcentral lists this non-coding RNA (148 nucleotides) under Pan paniscus (pygmy chimpanzee). RNAcentral also lists the same sequence under 1 other name. Lineage: Eukaryota; Metazoa; Chordata; Mammalia; Primates; Hominidae. The record is from Rfam by way of RNAcentral.
GCUAGAUGUGGUGGUGCACAUCUGUAAUCCCAGCUACUCAGGAGGCUGAGGUGGGAGAAUCGCUUGAACGCGGGAGGUGGAGGUCGCAGUGAGCCCAGAUCGCGCCACUGCACUCCAGCCUGGGUGACAGAGCGAGACUCCAUCUCAA